GGCUUCCCCCCUAGAGUCUCAGAUCCAUUUGAGCAGGUCCUGUCUCUGAAGUCCAGGGCUCUGCCUCCAGCUCCUAGGAAAGUACCCGGCACAAAGAAGAGGCUCCAUAACUAUUUUUUAAUUGCAUUGAAAUGAAGAUUUGGGAUUUGCUUGAAUGGAGUCAGCAAAUGCCAUCAUCAGAGGAUGCUAUUUCAGAAGAGAAAAAUAGAAAGGAGGUGUGCUCCUAAGGGCUCCUGCCUUGGAGAGUAACUCACAAGGCCAGCCCAGAUUCAAGAUGAAAGGAAAUGGAUUCCAUCUCUUGAUCGAUGGAGCAGCACACACAUACAGAGAGAGAAGAAAGUGAUGGCCGCCAUAUUUGGAGAUUCCACCACACAUACUGUACUCUACAUUGUCACGCAGUUCUAAGAAAUUUCAAUUCACCACCAGGAAUCCUGAUUGAGCAGCUUCCCUCCAUGGAGCAACUUUAUGACUUAUUUUGCAUCUUUUUGAUAUUGAAAAGGUUGGAUGGCUUUCUGUUGGGGCAUACCACCUGGCAUCCCUAGACUUCAUUCAGAUGUACAGUUGAAUCAAAGACAAAGACAGUGAAUGGAGAAUCUAAAAUGAGGACUCAGAGUUCUCCAUUGUCCUAUUAUUGCACAAAGGAUGUCUAAAGAAAUGCCUAACGUCAAGGAGCAGGGAGUUAACAGCUGGGCACUCCCUUUCUUUAUAGCUCUUCUCCAGCUCUCCCCUUGCUGCCACAUGCAGGCCACCAUCUUCUAGCCAUGGAUUGAUUGCUAAGGGAGUCAGGUGGUGGGGUAGGUAUUUCUAAAUUAAAAGCCUAGGGAGAUUAUUCUAGCUCUCUGGAAAUAAAGGCACAAAAAUUAUUUUACUACUUCCAUUUCAUUUUAACAAACUGUGCUCAUUCACCUCCUGCUCUGUAAGGUGAUAAGAUAGAUAUUAUAAAUAGACAACUAAAUGUGAUCAAUCUACAGUAAAAGUCUAGGUAAACCGCUUGAGAAACUAAGAGGCAAAUGAGAUUGAUGAGACCCUCAGAAAGAUGUUGCCACAAAUAAGCCCUUUCAUGGGUUUAUGAAGGAAAUCUAUGGAUUAAAAAAGCCUCUGGGAUAAGCUCCUCAAUGUCUCACCAUUCUGCUGCUGAACAGCAAAAGGUUUGUUCCUCCUUCAGAUGCAACAGUAGCAGAGCUUAACUCAGAUAAUACAAAGAAUCUAAUAUUAUCUCAGACACAUCAUUAAUAUCAAAGUGUUUCCUGAGGAAAAGCACAAAUCAGAGUCAGCAUCCACUGGCUUUUGGGCUUUCCCAAAUGUCAAACACUUCAGGGACAAUUUCCUUCUUUUUUCUCCUGUUUUACAUCCCUGAAAUGGACCAAGGGCACUUUUUUUUUCACCUGUGAUUCAGUACUGAUUCAUUUUUUUCUCUAUUUCAUGCUAUUACCUUUGCUAUUCUCUUUGGCUGAAGUUGUCUACCUUAUCCUAUAAUUUUCUGAAGUUUAGACUUUCCCUACCAGAUGACUUAUUCAAUAGAAAAUGGCAAUUAUACGCGGUUCAUUUUAUUAAUUGUAAUCAAAGUAUGGGAUCAAGUUUGAAAUAUUGGCUGUAUGAAUGAAACUUCAGGGUCUCUGAAAAUGUGACUCACUGUAGCUGACAAUUGUUUAGCCAGGGUGCAGGGUCCAUAACCUUCCCUCCUUCAUUCCUUUAACCUUCUGCAUAUAAACAGAUGCCAUUAGAAUGUUGUGUUGGUUGAUGGCAUAACUACUCACCACACUGGGACACUUUUGAGAGAGAAAGAAAGCACUAAAAUAAUUAAUAAGCAUUAAUUGAGCUCCAGCAGGUGUAAACUGGUACUGUCCUGGACAAAUCAAGGUGUAAAGCUAUUUAAUUAUUGCAUAUCCUGAAGCAUUCUUGUAAUGGCCGUCAUCUGGCCCAGUGAGCCAAGGCUGUGUCUGACCUGCUGAACCAGGUCAAACAAACUGUAGGACUGUACAGAGUAUAUUUUCAUUUUUAUGCACAGAUAAGGCUUUCCAAGCAAAGGAAACUAAAACCCGGUUUAGAGGACAAACCUUAGAAGUUAAAGGGUGUUAGAUCUGAAGCCAUCUGUUCCCAUUAACAGGACAAAUAAAAUUUAUAUCUUCAGGAGCCAAAUAUUUACAUUCCAGGGUAGGAACUUUCCCCUUUCUCUUCCUGUAAGAAUUUAUUUACAUUCAAAAGACUAUAAAUGACUAGGGAGCACAGAUUUUUCUCUUUCUCUAAGAAAGAGGGAGGGAAAAACAGCCAUCAUGCUCCUACAGAAACGGACAGAUUCAUAAUUUGGGGGUUCCUCUUCUGUGGUGCAAAAAGCCUCUUUUGUACAUGCAUGGGGAUUUUGAUGGGGAUUAUAUUGAAUCUGUAAGUCAAUUUGGGAAGUAUUGUCAUCUUAACUAUAUUAAGUAUCGCAAUCCAUGAACAUGAGAUGUCUUUCUAAUUAUUUAGGUCUUUAAUUUAUUUCAGCAAUGUUUUCUAGUUUUCAGUGUACGUAAGUCUUGCUCUUCCUUGGUUAAAUUUAUUUCUAAGUAUUUUAUUAUUUUUGAUAUUAUUGCAACUGGAGUUGUUUUCAUAAUUUCCUUCUUGAGUUGUACAUUAUUGGCUGUACAAAAAUACACCCAUUUUUGUACAUCAAUUUUAAAUCCUGAAAACUUGCUGAAUGAACUCAGUUAUUGGCUCAGGUUUUUGGUGAAUUCUUUAGAGCUUUUUUUAAAUCUGUAAGACCAUGUCAUCUUCAAAUAAAGAUUGGUUUUAUUUCUCUUAAAUUGAUUUUAUUCCUUCUCUUCCAACCUGAAUGCAUCUUGUUUCUUUUCUUACCUAAUCAGACUGGCUAGAAUCUUUAGUAUAAUGCUGAACAGAAGUGGUGAGAGCAAAUUGUGUUGGCUAGAACCUCUAGCAUGAUGCUAAACAGAAGUGGUAAGAGCAAACAUCCUCCUCUUCUUCCUGAUCAUAGGGGAAAGCUUUAAGUCUUUCACUUUUAAGUGUAUUAGCUGUGGGUUUUUCAUAGGUGCCCUUCAUCAAAUUGAGCAAAUUCUCUUCUUUCCCAGUUUGCUGAGUAAUUUUUUUAAAAU
This 3089-nucleotide long non-coding RNA is filed under the name Homo sapiens (human). RNAcentral describes it as "HSALNT0087900". Lineage: Eukaryota; Metazoa; Chordata; Mammalia; Primates; Hominidae. The record is from RNAcentral.